Molecule: long non-coding RNA, 888 nt
Organism: Myodes glareolus (Bank vole)
Lineage: Eukaryota; Metazoa; Chordata; Mammalia; Rodentia; Cricetidae
Source: RefSeq, a predicted model, not a curated record
CGCAUUGGCUCUAUUGGAUCCUGCCCCGCCUCCUCCCCUUAGCUAGGCGCGGAAAGGUGUGAAUGGAGCCCCGCCCACCGGGACCCAAGGACCAGGAAUGCGAGAAAGGACGCCGAGCCCGAGCCGAAUUACUUCUGAAGGGAACUAUCACCAUGCUGCAUGGAGCCCUCUCCAGCCAGUGAAGAUCCCCCAGGAACCAGGUUCUCUUUUUCACGUCUGGGUCCUCCACGAACUGUGUAGUUGCUUUCGCGUCCUUUCUUCUGCCGGCCUGCCUUCCCAUUCUGAGUGAUCCGUGAAAAUAGAAAGGCUCAGGAGAUAGUCCAUCUGACCUGCGAUCUAUACCCAUAACCUGUGUCAGGUCCCGGAGGUCCAUCCAGACAGGGAGGAGAGCAGAUGCGGGGCUCAACACACCACCCCCUCCAGUCAGAGAGACUUCGGUCAUUAAGCUGCCUUUUCCUUAGAGUUCAGGUUUGCUUUUGAGACGGAAUUGCUAAGCAUAGGACCAAUGCCUACUUCUUGUUGAGUAACGGCUAGGUGCGGUGAUUCUGAGUCCUUACCAUGUCCAGAUGAGAGGGCGGCGUGGAACACUUGGAAACAGUGACCCCGGGACCUUGGCACAGCCAUAUAUUCUAAGGCUAACCAGAGGAAAGCUCCAGAAGCCCAGCUGAAACCCUGACAAACUGCAAGACCGCUAACUGCCAGUCUGGGGUCCAAGCUGGCUGUCUCCUGUGGUGUAUGCAAAUGAGAAGGCAAAUUUUAACUCCCCACAGCCCUCAGUCCAUCAACUCUGAGGUGUCUCAUCAUGGACCAAAUGUCCAAACACUUCUCUGUCCCCAUCCGUCCUUCCAAAGACCCUGUGAGUCAUCUAUAAACUAUUUCCUGCUUGGA